AGCAGCCGCGGUAAUUCCAGCUCCAAUAGCGUAUAUUAAAGUUGUUGCAGUUAAAAAGCUCGUAGUUGAAUUUCGGGAUCAGUACGCUGGUCGUGCCUUCGGUAUGUACUGGUGUUACUGGUUCCUACCUUCUGACGAACCGCCAUGUCAUUAAUUUGGUGUGGCGGGGAAUCAGGACUGUUACUUUGAAAAAAAUUAGAGUGUUUAAAGCAGGCUCGCGCUUGAAUACAUUAGCAUGGAAUAAUGAAAUAGGACGUUCGAUCCUAUUUUGUUGGUUUCUAGGAUUGACGUAAUGAUUAAUAGGGAUAGUUGGGGGGCAUUAGUAUUCAAUUGUCAGAGGUGAAAUUCUUGGAUUUAUUGAAGACUAACUACUGCGAAAGCAUUUGCCAAGGAUGUUUUCAUUAAUCAAGAACGAAAGUUAGGGGAUCGAAGACGAUCAGAUACCGUCGUAGUCUUAACCAUAAACUAUGCCGACUAGGGAUCGGAUGAUGUUAAUUUUUAAUGACUCAUUCGGCGUCCG
This 520-nucleotide ribosomal RNA is filed under the name uncultured Glomus. RNAcentral's name for it is "SSU rRNA". It matches the Rfam family "Eukaryotic small subunit ribosomal RNA", at positions 569 to 1089 of the family's 1831-position model. Lineage: Eukaryota; Fungi; Glomeromycota; Glomeromycetes; Glomerales; Glomeraceae. The record is from RNAcentral.